UUUGCACUGAUGCUCUCACGGACUCUUUCUUAAAGCACUUUAUGCAUUUUAAUCACCUUCGGACUUUCCGAAGCCUACUCACUCGACAAUUUGUCGAUUCUAAAUGAAGUCUAAUCCUCGAAUUUCGAUAAUUCACUUCCUUACAUCCUCCCCACCUUAAAAGAGUUUCGUUCUCGAAACGAACUCAAUACUACUAAACUUAUUUAGAAUCUUAAAUUCUAAGCUCAUA
Molecule: long non-coding RNA, 229 nt
Filed under: Ananas comosus (pineapple)
Lineage: Eukaryota; Viridiplantae; Streptophyta; Magnoliopsida; Poales; Bromeliaceae
Description: long non-coding RNA (ACOM_LNC035636)
Source: RNAcentral